GUCCACGCUGUAAACGAUGGGCACUAGGUGUCCGGGGUAUUGACCCCCUGGGUGCCGCAGCUAACGCAUUAAGUGCCCCGCCUGGGGAGUACGGUCGCAAGAUUAAAACUCAAAGGAAUUGACGGGGGCCCGCACAAGCGGUGGAGCAUGUGGUUCAAUUCGACGCAACGCGAAGAACCUUACCUGGGCUAGACAACGGUGGACCAUCCUAGAAAUAGGAACUUCCCUUCGGGGACCGCCGGUUCAGGUGCUGCAUGGCUGUCGU
This 265-nucleotide ribosomal RNA is filed under the name uncultured bacterium. Its description in RNAcentral is "partial 16S ribosomal RNA". It matches the Rfam family "Bacterial small subunit ribosomal RNA", at positions 793 to 1055 of the family's 1533-position model. The record is from RNAcentral.